Molecule: ribosomal RNA, 1074 nt
Filed under: Draculoides mesozeirus
Lineage: Eukaryota; Metazoa; Arthropoda; Arachnida; Schizomida; Hubbardiidae
Description: partial large subunit ribosomal RNA
Rfam family: Eukaryotic large subunit ribosomal RNA
Source: RNAcentral
UCCCUUAGUAGCGGCGAGCGAACAGGGAAGAGCCCAGCGCCGAAUUCCGCGUCUCAAAGGGCGUUUGGAACAUGUGGCGUUUAGGAGGAAUCUCUCCGAGGGCAGACGGUGUCGCAAGUCCCCCUGAACGGGGCUGUGAUCCAGAGCGGGUGCGAGGCCCAUAGCUGGUACCGUCUCCUUCGGGUGUCCCCUCCUUGGAGUCGGGUUGCUUGGGAGUGCAGCCCUAAUUGGGUGGUAAACUCCACCUAAGGCUAAAUACGUCCGUGAGACCGAUAGCAAACAAGUACCGUGAGGGAAAGUUGCAAAGAACUUUGAAGAGAGAGUUCAAGAGUACGUGAAACCGCUCAGAGGCAAACGGGUGGGCCCACGAAAGCCGAAGGCGGGGGGAUUCAGUCGAGAGGACGGUGGGGCAGGACAGGCUGGUUGGACGGACCGUGCCAGGCCGGGUCAGUUCCCGAGAUCUGCCGCCUUUCGACGCAUUUCCCCCUGCUUAGUAGGACGCCGCAACCGGUUGGCGCUGCAGCCAUAAGGGAGAGUAAAUGGAAGGUAGCCAGUGAGUUCUUCUUCGGAGGCGCGAGCUGGUCCUAAGCCGACUCUCCUGGUGCUUGUGGCCCGACCGUGGUCGUGAGUCCCUCAACGGGAUGUCGCCGAGCCCUCUGACUGGAGCGGGAGAAGUGGCAGGCUGCUUUCCGCGGAAAAAAUCGAUCGCUUCACGCGUGCAGUGGGCGAUCUCCGGAGGUAGCUGCUGGUGCGUUUUUCUCCUGCGCUGGGCACAGGCAGUUGGCGGCGAGUAGGUCGGUCACCCACCCGACCCGUCUUGAAACACGGACCAAGGAGUCUAACAUGUGCGCGAGUCAUUGGGUCUUGAACAAGCCCAAAGGCGCAAUGAAAGUGAAGACCAGCACUGAAGCUGGUGGAGUUGGGAAACUGUGUCACUGAAGAUGCAGUUGCACCAACGGCCCGUCCCGUCCGCAUCGUCGGUGGGGCGGAGCGAGAGCGUACACGUUGGGACCCGAAAGAUGGUGAACUAUGCCUGGGCAGGACGAAGCCAGAGGAAACUCUGGUGGAGGUCCG